GGAGGGGUGGCCGAGAGGACGAUGGCGACGGUCUUGAAAACCGUUAACUCGCAAGGGUUCGUGGGUUCGAAUCCCACCCCCUCCGCCA
RNAcentral lists this transfer RNA (88 nucleotides) under SAR202 cluster bacterium AC-647-N09_OGT_505m. RNAcentral's name for it is "tRNA-Ser". It matches the Rfam family "tRNA". Rfam says of the family: Transfer RNA (tRNA) molecules are approximately 80 nucleotides in length. Their secondary structure includes four short double-helical elements and three loops (D, anti-codon, and T loops). The record is from RNAcentral. Lineage: Bacteria; Bacillati; Chloroflexota; Dehalococcoidia.